This 484-nucleotide ribosomal RNA is filed under the name uncultured bacterium. RNAcentral's name for it is "partial 16S ribosomal RNA". It matches the Rfam family "Bacterial small subunit ribosomal RNA", at positions 30 to 507 of the family's 1533-position model. The record is from RNAcentral.
AUUGAACGCUGGCGGCAGGCCUAACACAUGCAAGUCGAGCGGAUGAAGGGAGCUUGCUCCUGGAUUCAGCGGCGGACGGGUGAGUAAUGCCUAGGAAUCUGCCUGGUAGUGGGGGAUAACGUCCGGAAACGGGCGCUAAUACCGCAUACGUCCUGAUGGAGAAAGUGGGGGAUCUUCGGACCUCACGCUAUCAGAUGAGCCUAGGUGGGAUUAGCUAGUUGGUGGGGUAAAGGCCUACCAAGGCGACGAUCAGUAACUGGUCUGAGAGGAUGAUAAGUCACACUGGAACUGAGAGACGGUCCAGAAUCCUACGGGAGGCAGCAGUGGGGAAUAUUGGACGAUGGGCGAAAGCCUGAUCCAGCCAUGCCGAGUGUGUGAAGAAGGUCUUCGGAUUGUAAAGCGCUUUAAGUUGGGAGGAAGGGCAGUAAGUUAAUACCGUGCUGUUUUGACGUUACCAACAGAAUAAGCACCGGCUAACUUCGUG